AGAAUUGAUGAUGUAAGAGGGAGAGAGGGAUGAACUGCAGGAGCUGUGUUUUUGAGCAGGAGAGAGAGGGUGGGCUCUUGUGCACAAGGAAAGGUCUUGCUUUGGAGAGGAGCCUGGCUGCUUACCAAUAGCGACAAGAAGGAAGGCUGAGCAAACGGAAAGCAUCAUUCUGUGUCAAGCGUGGAAUGAGACGUCAUUUUUAAUGGCUGCAGCAUAUUGUGUUGUAGAGUUUUCAUGAUUUAUUUAACCAGCCCUCUCCUGAUGACCAAGUUCCAGGAAGGUGAAGUUAUCUGGCCAGGAGAUCCAGAGUCACACCUCGAGUGGACUGCGUGGGGCUGCAUUCAGCGAGUGCACUAGUUCAACUCUAAGCCUCAAUUUUGGAAAAUGGAGUCAUAAUACCUAUCUCAUAGGAUUGUCUGAAGUCCAUGGAGUAUGCUGCGCAGUAGUAAUAGUGCUCGUUGGGAUGGCAUAGGAAUAGCAGGAGAAGAGCAGAAGAUUGCAGCGCUAAUGGUCGUUCUUGAAGUAGAGGUGGUGUGAUUUUGCGGCCUUGUGGCUGUUGUCAAUGUUGCAGUUGCUGCUGACAUCGUUGCGACAACAGUAGCUGCUGUGGUGGUAGAAUUUGGGCAGAACUCAGGCUAGAUUCCCUACUGAGGACUUCUUUCAUUUUACCUAUCUUACUAAAGUUCCCAAUUCGUUACUUUGUGCCCCAAGAAAAGGCAGAAUUCUGUCUGAGAUACAUACCCAUGUGUGCUUCUAUGAGGAUAUUAAUCCUCAUUUUUUCCUCUGAUACAGAAGAGCACAAAGUGACACCUACUUGUAGUUCAAUCACAACCUCUGUUGUCAGUUGCCCCUGACCCCAGGGAAACCCAAAUGUUUGUUUGGAGCUAUAGGAGUGGCCAUGUUUAAAGAAUGAAGUAAAAAUGAUGUUUCUGACACUAAUCUUUUUGAUUUGCUUUCUUGACAAAGUGAGUUUCUUU
RNAcentral lists this long non-coding RNA (977 nucleotides) under Equus asinus (donkey). Its description in RNAcentral is "lncRNA (ENSEASG00005035619.1)". The record is from RNAcentral. Lineage: Eukaryota; Metazoa; Chordata; Mammalia; Perissodactyla; Equidae.